Long non-coding RNA from Lates calcarifer (barramundi perch), 811 nucleotides. RefSeq lists it as uncharacterized. The record is from RefSeq and is a predicted model, not a curated record. The transcript has 4 exons. Lineage: Eukaryota; Metazoa; Chordata; Actinopteri; Centropomidae.
ACACUCAGCUCCUCCACAUGGAGCCAGUAAGAACUGGAGCACAUGGAACAAACAUUUGUGCGAACAAAGACAAGGCCUUCGGGAAGUACUACUCCAAACCCACAGAGGCUCCGGAGCCGAUGGACGUGGAGAACACAGAGAGGAGCGGCUUCAUGAAGACGGAGCUCAUAUCAGUGUCAGAAGUGUAAGCAGAGAAAACGUCCAGACUGCAGGACAACAUGAUGCCGAUGUCUCCUGACGACUACAAGGUUUUGGAGCAGUUCGUCGGUCCCAGAGACAUCGACACCGUGAUGAGCGCAGACUUUCCUGACCAGAACUAAAGAUGAGCUCCUCAUCCUCUUGUUACCAGUGUACUCUUCAUGUCUUUGUUUAAUGCAGAGACUAAAGCCCCAUUUGGACGGGAUUAACAGUACGGGAGGAGGUGGAGAAUUAAAUCUUCACUGUGGUCUUCUGUAAUGUAACCUCCAUAACUCUGCUAAGAAGUCAGAAAAAAGACACUUGUGUUUGUGCAGAACUUGCUUUUGGAACUUGUUUUUAACUUUUCUUCAGUAUCACAGUGAUCCAGUGACAGCUGUCUGUACGCCCAUGGGUUCACUGCAGACAGGAGAUGAUCGCAGCUAAUUCUGCAUACUUAGAAUAAAAAUAUGUGAAUAAAUGUAUAUGCUGUGAUUACUGGUGAUUAUUGAUCACUUGGACAUUGUGUAUUUAAGUCUGCAAAAACAUCUUAUUGUGUGGAGCAUUCAACCUGAGCUUUUUAUUUAAGAAACUGUAUCAGUGGCUGUAGUUUUCAUCAGUGUUGUAACAGCAAUUA